This 493-nucleotide ribosomal RNA is filed under the name uncultured bacterium. Its description in RNAcentral is "partial 16S ribosomal RNA". It matches the Rfam family "Bacterial small subunit ribosomal RNA", at positions 30 to 523 of the family's 1533-position model. The record is from RNAcentral.
AUUGAACGCUGGCGGCAUGCUUUACACAUGCAAGUCGAACGGUAACAGGUUAAGCUGACGAGUGGCGAACGGGUGAGUAAUGCAUCGGAACGUGCCCGGUCGUGGGGGAUAACACUUCGAAAGAAGUGCUAACACCGCAUACGAUCUAAGGAUGAAAGCGGGGGACCGUAAGGCCUCGCGCGAUCGGAGCGGACGAUGUCAGCUUAGGUAGUUGGUGGGGUAAAGGCCUACCAAGCCGACGAUCUGUAGCUGGUCUGAGAGGACGACCAGCCACACUGGGACUGAGGCACGGCCCAGACUCCUACGGGAGUCAGCAGUGGGGAAUUUUGGACAAUGGGCGCAAGCCUGAUCCAGCAAUGCCGCGUGCAGGAAGAAGGCCUUCGGGUUGUAAACUGCUUUUGUACGGAGCGAAAAGGCUCUCUCUAAUACAGGGGGCUGAUGACGGUACCGUAAGAAUAAGCACCGGCUAACUACGUGCCAGCCGCCGCCGUAA